Molecule: ribosomal RNA, 253 nt
Filed under: uncultured bacterium
Lineage: Bacteria
Description: partial 16S ribosomal RNA
Rfam family: Bacterial small subunit ribosomal RNA
Source: RNAcentral
UACAGAGGGUGCAAGCGUUAAUCGGAAUUACUGGGCGUAAAGCGUGCGUAGACGGUUACAUAAGUCGGGUGUGAAAGCCCCGGGCUCAACCUGGGAAUUGCAUUCGAGACUGCGUAGCUAGGGUGCGGAAGAGGGAAGCGGAAUUUCCGGUGUAGCGGUGAAAUGCGCAGAUAUCGGAAGGAACACCAGUGGCGAAAGCGGCUUCCUGGUCCAGCACCGACGUUCAGGCACGAAAGCGUGGGGAGCAAACAGG